Molecule: ribosomal RNA, 302 nt
Filed under: uncultured bacterium
Lineage: Bacteria
Description: bacterial SSU rRNA
Rfam family: Bacterial small subunit ribosomal RNA
Source: RNAcentral
CUUUGCUGAAGGAACGGCCCGCGUACCAUUAGCUAGUUGGUGUGGUAACGGCAUACCAAGGCGAUGAUGGUUACCCGGCCUAAGAGGGUGAUCGGGCACAUUGGGACUGAGAUACGGCCCAGACUCCUACGGGAGGCAGCAGCUAAGAAUAUUCCGCAAUGGGGGAAACCCUGACGGAGCGACGCCGCGUGGAUGAUGAAGGCCGGAAGGUUGUAAAGUCCUUUUGGGCGCAAAGAAUAAGUACGCGAGGAAAUGCGCGUGCGGUGACGGUAGCGCCUGAAUAAGCAACGGCUAAUUACGUG